Long non-coding RNA from Homo sapiens (human), 723 nucleotides. Lineage: Eukaryota; Metazoa; Chordata; Mammalia; Primates; Hominidae. The record is from Ensembl.
CUCUUUAUCAUCUUCCGCACCCGAGCCCCGGGCUCACUCGCUGGGGCUGCCGGAGGACGCGCUGCUGCGAGACCAGCCGCGGCGUCUUUGGCAGUAGUGGGCGUGCUUGCGGGUCCAGGAGGGCCCCUCUCCCGCGACCGCCGACCACGAUGAGAGCGUGAAGACCCUCUCGAAAGGAAGGGCUCUGCUCUACACACUGGUGUCUCCUGCGGAAGGGCAGCUGGGCACGCCUUCCAGACCGAGGUAUCAGACGAGAGGCCCCCUGGGGACGGGGCGGUUACCGCAGUCUCCCUUCUUGCUCCCGACUGUCAGCCCUCCUCCCCUCCCAUCAGCAGCUCAGGGAUGGGGCUGGCUCUGGGGCCUCCUCUUCCAUCAACCCCUCAGCUACGGGGCUGGUUCAGGGGACUCCUCCCCUCCCAUCAGCAGCUCAGGGAUGGGGCUGGCUCUGGGGCCUCCUCUUCCAUCAACCCCUCAGCUACGGGGCUGGUUCAGGGGACUCCUCCCCUCCCAUCAGCAGCUCAGGGAUGGGGCUGGCUCUGGGGCCUCCUCUCCCAGGCUCAGCUGCCGCUGGGACCCACUCCCCUGAGCGCCUCUCCCCUAAGUAAUGUUAUUCAUAGCAAAAACUAGAAAAACACAUUUUAAUGAAAUAAAUGUUCAGGUUAAUUUUAUUAUAGCAUGCCAACUAAAUGUUUUAUACUAUAGAAAUAAAUAUUUAACAAAAUA